GAUGAACGCUGGCGGCGUGCCUAAUACAUGCAAGUCGAGCGAACGGACGAGAAGCUUGCUUCUCUGAUGUUAGCGGCGGACGGGUGAGUAACACGUGGAUAACCUACCUAUAAGACUGGGAUAACUUCGGGAAACCGGAGCUAAUACCGGAUGAUAUUUUGAACCGCAUGGUUCAAAAGUGAAAGACGGUCUUGCUGUCACUUAUAGAUGGAUCCGCGCUGCAUUAGCUAGUUGGUAAGGUAACGGCUUACCAAGGCAACGAUGCAUAGCCGACCUGAGAGGGUGAUCGGCCACACUGGAACUGAGACACGGUCCAGACUCCUACGGGAGGCAGCAGUAGGGAAUCUUCCGCAAUGGGCGAAAGCCUGACGGAGCAACGCCGCGUGAGUGAUGAAGGUCUUCGGAUCGUAAAACUCUGUUAUUAGGGAAGAACAUAUGUGUAAGUAACUGUGCACGUCUUGACGGUACCUAGUCAGAAAGCCACGGCUAACUACGUG
This 497-nucleotide ribosomal RNA is filed under the name uncultured bacterium. Its description in RNAcentral is "partial 16S ribosomal RNA". It matches the Rfam family "Bacterial small subunit ribosomal RNA", at positions 28 to 507 of the family's 1533-position model. The record is from RNAcentral.